AGCUGUAACACAUUUUAAAAUUACAGCAUGGUUAUGUUUUCACUUGGUUCUGACUGUAAAUGAUACAUUUACAGUUAAACACUGUUAGGCUAAUAUUGGCAGUUUGCAAGAGGAUAGGCAUUUGAUGGCGGGAGGAGGAGAGCGAACCCAGCAUUCAUCCACUCAAUAAAGAGAUCGAAUCAACCUUGAAGUGAGGUGAGGAGAGAAAGCUGCAAAAACAACAUUUUGAUGCUUCCUGGGGAUCAACCCAACGUCUGGCACAAAGGCCACAAAGUGGAUCAGUCCAAGAAGUGGGAAGGUGCAAGAGAAGUGGAACAGCAAUGUCAACCUUCAUGUCUCUGCACUUCUAAAAAGGUUAAUGGACUUUGAAUGGCUUUGAGCCCGUUUGCAAAAGAAACAAUAAUGGCACACUGUUUUGUAUAAAAAAAACAAAAAAACAAUGGUUCCAAGAUGUGGUUAUUUUUUACACAUUUGACUUUGUUG
Molecule: long non-coding RNA, 483 nt
Organism: Solea solea (common sole)
Lineage: Eukaryota; Metazoa; Chordata; Actinopteri; Pleuronectiformes; Soleidae
Exons: 3
Source: RefSeq, a predicted model, not a curated record